Molecule: long non-coding RNA, 1384 nt
Filed under: Homo sapiens (human)
Lineage: Eukaryota; Metazoa; Chordata; Mammalia; Primates; Hominidae
Description: TTC14 divergent transcript, transcript variant 4 (TTC14-DT)
Source: RNAcentral
GUUCUGGGGUCGCCCCCACGGCGGCGCGGCGGAGCUCAGCCUCGAUCUCGCGAAACCGAGCGAGACUACGGAAGGCCGAAGGAUUGGGCUCAGCAUUGCUUGGGCUAAAGGCUGACUAGGGCUUCCAGGAAGUGAUGUAUGUGAGAAGUUUGCUUUUUAAAGUGUACGUGGGAUCGUUAUUACGUCGAAAUAGCUCGAGCUGUAACCUAGGAGUCUUGCUCUGUUGCCCAGGCUUGAGUGCAGUGGCACGAUCUUGGCUCACUGCAACCUCCACCUCCCGAGUUCAAGCGAUUCUCCUGCCUCACCCUCCUGAGUAGCUGGGACUACAGGCCUGCGCCACCACACCUGGCUAACUUCUGAAUAUCAAGCUGAAAUUACUAUCAGAUAUCUUGCCACCACAUAGAGGCUUUGAGUGAAGUCUGCAUGGAGGAGAACAGAGCUGAGAGAUGGAAAGAUACUGAAUCCCAGUGACGUCCUUUGAGAUGUCGGAUCAAGCUGAGCUGGGCAUGAAGAUAGAGCUACUCCUAUACUUUUAAGAUACCAAUAACAAGCAAGAUUCAGAAGUCCAACAAGUAAGACAUUGAUUUCAUUAAGAGAGAACUAGUAAGCAAGCUAUUUGGGAAGUACACUCUCAUAAGAAUAUUGUUUCAUGAAGUCUUGAGCAACAAAGGAAAUAGUCCAUGAAGUGCACUGCUGUCAGACUCCCUCUAAGAAUACUUCAACUGCUCAUGAAGCGGGGGGCCUUAACUAUUUACUUCUUUUGGAAGCCUCCAUCUGGCCCAUCUAUCUUUAUUCUCCCAGGAUCACAGCCCUUUGCGUCAUGCCAAGGAAGCCUUGGAAUAUUUUGUUUCUGAGGCCAAGUUUCAUUGGCCUGUCAAGGGAUAAUCCUUCAUCUGGGAAAAGAAAUGGACAUGGAGCUACUGCACACAAGGUUUGGGGUGUUUUUCUCUUAAGAAAUAUAAACAUUAAACACGGGAAGUAACGAGAACAUGAAGCGUUCUUCAGAUUCUGCACAUCUUGCCCCACAUCAUAAGAUUUUCUGCUUGCUGCUGAAUCAUUUCUAUUGGAGGAAAGUGUAAUGCACAUUUCACUGCCCCAAAUAAAACCGGAAAAGUAGCAUUUGUAUAUUGUCACUAACAAUCACGUUCUGUGCGAAAGAGUGAGGAAGAUCAUCUCAGCUCCAGUGAAGCACUAACUGUGAACAAGCCCUUCUUUGUCCAUCUCUCCUGUAAUUAGAUGUGGGUCAGGGGUUGCCACUGUUGGGAAAUUUGAAACAAUAAAAGAAAAGGACUCUCACAAGAAAGGGCCAUGCAAACAGUGUGAGUGAUAUUUGAUUAUGUGUCAAUAUUGUUUUGAAUAGAAAACAAAAAUUAUUGAAAAACCA